Molecule: long non-coding RNA, 653 nt
Organism: Entelurus aequoreus (snake pipefish)
Lineage: Eukaryota; Metazoa; Chordata; Actinopteri; Syngnathiformes; Syngnathidae
Exons: 3
Source: RefSeq, a predicted model, not a curated record
UGUGGAAAAACGUCAGGCUCUGAGACCGGGACUCAAGCCGAGGCACAAACAGAGCAUCGAAUCCUCGUAUUUGUGUUGGACAAAGGGCGGAGGGAGGUCACCGCCGUUCAUGCUCGUCAUUACAACACGCUUUCAAACACCUUCCUCUGAAUCAAAAUGCACUUACAGGGGAGUCAAGUCCAGCUGCCGCUGAUUUGUAUCUGGAGGUGCACCAAAGCACUUCCAGUUUCCUUACAAUUCUGGUUCCAAUGGGCCGUUCAAACAUCAAUUACAGUCUGUUUUCCCCCUCUUCUCCUGGAUGUCGGCCAUUAGACACGCUCAAUUGGAUUCCUGUCAGAUGUGCGGCCUCGCCCUGGGUCUCCUUCCUACGGUAAGGAGCUGAAAAAGGGUGAGAUCGUAAAUGAACUAGGCACUCACUGUGAACAUGCUUCGGAAGUUGCUGAGGUCGGUGAAUAGUUCCUCCACGGAUGUUUUCUUUGGAUCCACAGCAAAGUAGUCCAGCAGACUGAGGUAGAGAGUCUCCAUGUUGCUGUGCAGACUCACCAGCUUGCUGUGCUGCUCCCGCGCUACCUUCAUGAAGCUGUGAGGCUGGACGUCAAGGAAUUCAACACACAAACCGUGUAUAUAUUGUGUGUAUAUCGUGUAUAUAUAUU